This 506-nucleotide ribosomal RNA is filed under the name uncultured bacterium. RNAcentral's name for it is "bacterial SSU rRNA". It matches the Rfam family "Bacterial small subunit ribosomal RNA", at positions 15 to 518 of the family's 1533-position model. The record is from RNAcentral.
GAUCAUGGCUCAGGAUGAACGCUAGCUACAGGCUUAACACAUGCAAGUCGAGGGGUAGCAGGGUAGCAAUACCGCUGACGACCGGCGCACGGGUGAGUAACACGUAUCCAACCUUCCCAUAACUCAGGGAUAGCCUUUCGAAAGAAAGAUUAAUACCUGAUAGUACUUUUUCAAGGCAUCUUGAGAAAGUUAAAGAUUUAUUGGUUAUGGAUGGGGAUGCGUUCCAUUAGAUAGUUGGUGAGGUAACGGCUCACCAAGUCUUCGAUGGAUAGGGGUUCUGAGAGGAAGGUCCCCCACAUUGGUACUGAGACACGGACCAAACUCCUACGGGAGGCAGCAGUGAGGAAUAUUGGUCAAUGGGCGAGAGCCUGAACCAGCCAAGUAGCGUGAAGGAUGAAGGUCCUAUGGAUUGUAAACUUCUUUUAUAGUAGAAUAAAGUGAUCCACGUGUGGAUUUUUGUAUGUAUACUAUGAAUAAGGAUCGGCUAACUCCGUGCCAGCCGCUGC